Long non-coding RNA from Drosophila miranda, 839 nucleotides. RefSeq lists it as uncharacterized. Lineage: Eukaryota; Metazoa; Arthropoda; Insecta; Diptera; Drosophilidae. The record is from RefSeq and is a predicted model, not a curated record. The transcript is spliced from 2 exons.
AAAAAGAGGAAUAAAAACCGGGAAAAGAUCUUAACAGCUGAAUACAGCAGAAAGAAAGAAAUAUUGUGCGUUUAUAAAGUAAAAGUGUGUUAAGUGCCAAUCUCAAUUGAUUGGCGGUUAGUACCGGCUUAAACUUCGGGCAAUCGUUUGGGUACCUGUCUGAACCCCAAUACGAAAGCUCGCAACAACAAUUUCCCCGAUAUUAGGGCCUCCGCCCGCGGCAAGGGACUUAUGCUCCUCGCCCAACUACAGCUCCGUACCAAAAAAAUUCCCAGCGCUAGGCCGAGCAGCACAAAGCGGGAGGCGUAAAAGAUCGGCUCAUCAGUCGCUUUGCGGGCGCGAGCCACUUAUGUGUCACGGACCCGCGAUAUAUUGGAGGCCGUCCAAUUCUGCGGAAAUUAUUAAAGCUAUGUAAACGGUCAGCCAAUUUCUACCCGAAAUAUAGAUCUGGGUCUCGACCUAUUUUCGUUUCCCCAUACGAAGUGCCGAGGAGUGCCCAGAUGUGAAGCCGGCGGCAACGACUGUCGUUUUUUUUUUAUAUCCAUCAGUGUAACCGCUGAUUCCUAUUUUUAUGCUAUAGUGUCAUUAGUGUAAUUAGCUUAGUAAAUUUCUUUUGGUUGUGUUUUUAAAUUCUGUUCGGAAGAAAUAGCAAGUGGAAUGUGUGACAGGGCGAAAGUGAACAACGGUUAAACGGCAGAGGAGAGCGUGAGUUUUUUUUUGUAAAAGUAUUUCUCCAGCUUUCGUUUUAGGAACGUUGCCGCAGUCCAUGGAAGCGCUUUCAUCGCUGUUUCAACGCAUUUAUUAAAACAAAUCAAAGGAAGGCCGUAAGUGAUCCCAAA